GGUAGCGGAGGUGCCCUGGAUCUCCCUUUUUAUGUUCUUGCCAACCUGCAGGGACAACAUUAAACGACCAAAGGGUCUUUUAUUUAAAGUGUAUUCCUAGUGCCCUAGAAUGAGCUCACCCUACUUCCUAGGUUGUAUCGUCCGUUCAAUCACCGGACUGCAGAUAUGAAACCCAAUGUCUACCCUGUUUGCUGCCUAAGUUAUUCUGUUUUCUUUUUUUUUUUAUUUCUUAUAUUUUUAUUCCAGGAUGUGUGUCAAGCUAAGUUUCUCUGUGUAUCGUUCUAAGUAUUGAACAUAUAAAAAGGAGCAUACAUCGGCCUACCUUGGCACCUACGGGCUGCUGGUGCAAAAUUCCCUCGGGGACACUGGAGCAGAUGGCGGCGGUGGAACCAAUGAUGAAGCUGGAGAUGCUGAUGAGAUGAUGAUGUUGUUGAGGAUGGAAAUGUUGACGUUGCCGUGGAUGACGAUGGUUAAAAUUGCAGUAGAGGUGGGUAUUUAUUAUUUGACAAAAAGUUUUUGUUGUUCUGUUUAGUCUUUGCUAUGUUUUAUUCGUGGCUCAAAUUAACGUUCUUUUUCAAAGCUUUUUAUAUUUCACAGGAUCUUUUUUCUUUAGCAUUAAUUAGCACUAAUAAGUUUAUUUAGCUUUAAGUUGAUCUAAAGUAACUUCAGCUUUUUUACUACAAAAGCUAGUCUUUAUUCCUUUCACAAAAAAAAGGAACAUUUAUUUGCUUUUAAAUAAAAAACUUUAUGCCUUUGGCAUCACAUA
This is a long non-coding RNA of Stomoxys calcitrans (stable fly), 766 nucleotides long. RefSeq lists it as uncharacterized. The record is from RefSeq and is a predicted model, not a curated record. Lineage: Eukaryota; Metazoa; Arthropoda; Insecta; Diptera; Muscidae. The transcript has 2 exons.